RNAcentral lists this long non-coding RNA (232 nucleotides) under Homo sapiens (human). RNAcentral's name for it is "HSALNT0226424". Lineage: Eukaryota; Metazoa; Chordata; Mammalia; Primates; Hominidae. The record is from RNAcentral.
GUCCACGCCCUGCCCCAGCGUGAAGCACGGGGGUGGGGGGCAGGGAGCCAAGUCCUCUGUGUCCUCCUGACACCUCCUCAUCCCCAGGUCCACGCCCUGCCCCAGUGUGAAGCACGGGGAUGAGUGGGGGGAACCCUCACGCUGCGAUGGCGGCGACGGCUGCCAGUAUUGCCACUCCCGCACGGAGCAGCAGUUCCAUCCCGAGAUCUACAAAUCUACAAAAUGCAACGAC